Molecule: ribosomal RNA, 166 nt
Filed under: uncultured bacterium
Lineage: Bacteria
Description: partial 16S ribosomal RNA
Rfam family: Bacterial small subunit ribosomal RNA
Source: RNAcentral
UGGAUUCGCUAGUAAUCGCGCAUCAGCCACGGCGCGGUGAAUACGUUCCCGGGCCUUGUACACACCGCCCGUCAAGCCAUGGGAGCCGGGGGUGCCUGAAGGCCGUGACCGCGAGGAGCGGCCUAGGGUAAAACUGGUGACUGGGGCUAAGUCGUAACAAGGUACC